AGAGUUUGAUCAUGGCUCAGAAUCAACGCUGGCGGCGUGCCUAACACAUGCAAGUCGAACGAGAAAGUGGAGCAAUCCAUGAGUACAGUGGCGUACGGGUGAGUAACACGUGGGUAAUCUGCCUUUUAGUGAGGAAUAACGAUGGGAAACCGUCGCUAAUACCGCAUAAGCCCGAGAGGGGAAAGUCGCAAGACGCUGAAAGAGGAGCCCGCGGCCGAUUAGCUAGUUGGUAGGGUAAGAGCCUACCAAGGCAGAGAUCGGUAGCCGGCCUGAGAGGGCACACGGCCACACUGGCACUGAAACACGGGCCAGACUCCUACGGGAGGCAGCAGUGGGGAAUCUUGCACAAUGGGGGCAACCCUGAUGCAGCGACGCCGCGUGAGCGAUGAAGCCCUUCGGGGUGUAAAGCUCUUUCGGCAGGGAAGAUUAUGACGGUACCUGCAGAAGCAGCUGCGGCUAACUACGUGCCAGCAGCCGCGGUAAUACGUAGGCAGCGAGCGUUGUUCGGAGUUACUGGGCGUAAAGGGUGUGUAGGCGGUUCUUUAAGUUUGGUGUGAAAUCUCCCGGCUCAACCGGGAGGGUGCGCCGAAUACUGAGGGACUAGAGUGUGGGAGAGGAAAGUGGAAUUCCUGGUGUAGCGGUGAAAUGCGUAGAUAUCAGGAGGAACACCGGUGGUGUAGACGGCUUUCUGGACCAUAACUGACGCUGAGACACGAAAGCGUGGGUAGCAAACAGGAUUAGAUACCCUAGUAGUCC
Molecule: ribosomal RNA, 756 nt
Filed under: uncultured bacterium
Lineage: Bacteria
Description: bacterial SSU rRNA
Rfam family: Bacterial small subunit ribosomal RNA
Source: RNAcentral